GAACAACAGCGGUAAGAGAGUGUCUGAUCGGUAGCAAGAUUAGUGAAAUAAAUUUAUUACAUAACGUUAUUGUAUUAUUUUUAUUUAGUAAUUUACUGAUAUACAACGGGUGACUUUAAUAUCAGGCAUAUAACGUUCACUGUUCUAAACAGAAUGAUUUUCGUCUUUACUGCCACAGGACCAAACUUGAAUUCUGAAGAGUAUGAAUUUAAAAAAAAAAGUGGAAUUUCCCGAAAAGUAUUAAUCAGUAAAGUCUGCAAAAGCAAAUAGAAUUUGAAUUUCGCUCCAUGGUAUUCAAAUAUAAAGAAAAUAUAAAAAAAUAAUAUGAAUCAAGGCACUGCCUCAAUCGGGAUUUAAAGGUAGAUUUUGUAAUAAAAAAAUACUGCCCAUGCUUAUACUGAUGUGCAAGACAUUGCGGUUCGGACAAGUUAUGUGGACGCUUAUUACGCACAAGGAAAAGGCGUAUUCUUCCAAAAAUCCGAAGUCAGACGCUCUGUGCACGUGUCGGAAAGACACAUUUUCUUAAUUCCUUCGAUAGUAUAUCUCAUUUGGUAUAUAUCGUAUGUUACUGUAGAGGGUUCGAUCCCCGGCCACAUCAUACCAAAGACGUGAAAUGGCACCAGUAGUUCCCUUGCUUGGCGCUCAGCAUUAAAGGGAAACUGGCCUCAUCUAACAUACCCUCUUGGCGGUGGAUUCAAUCAGGAAUGAGGUGUCGAGAGUGAUUAAUGUAAGUUGUAGAAUUUGCUUUACAAUUGACCAAAAAUAAAUGUAUAAACUAAAUGCGUAUCACGCUGUGUAAUCAAAUAAAAUAAAAUAAUAAAAAUAAAAAAAAAAACAAAAAAAAAAAAAAACAAAAAAAAAAAACAACAACAUUUAAAACACAUGAAAAGAAAAUAAGUACGAUCGAAUUCAAACAUGUUUUUACUUCUUUUCAUAUUUUACAAGCGUGUUAGCGAAAAUAUUGCAUCUGAUGUCAACACUAUGAGAAAUAUUUCCAUUUAAGACUGAUUAAGAAACAAACAAACAUUCCUUAUACCGUAACACUUAAUUAGAGACUUUAAAACCUAAUCUAUCAUGUGACAUAACAAUGUAAUAAAAAUGUCAUAUUAUAGCUCAUCUAACACCAGUCCGAAUUGCAAUGGAUCCGUCCAAUUAAGCGCAUCAGGUCAUAAAUCCCCCGCUGUCACGACGUAGUGAUCUUAAAUUGGAUUAGUGCGAGAGAACAUACAGGCUCUGAUUAAGGACUUUAUUCGGGUAUGUCGGUUCAUAAAGACGCCUGAUGUCGAGACGGUGAAGGCACGUCUACAAGAUAAUGUGGUAUAAACAGAUGGUAAACGUAAUUUCCGGACACAGAUGCGACUUGCAAGGGUCAAAAUCUUUAAAUUAUGAUCUCUAUGUGCAUGCGAAUAUCUUCAGCCGACUUGUGAAAUGUCCAAACAGCUCCAGCUGCUACCUAAGAUGAUAACACGGACGAUAAAGGAAUGAAGGGUAUGUCUGCUUCACUACGAUUGACAAAACUUGCACAUCUACUUUCAAGUUGGUGAAAGCACGACUUCAAGAUGUAAGCUGAAAAAGAAGAUGGUAAUUUCCGGCCACAAGUGUCAAAAUCUUAAAAUUAGGGUCGAAGAGAAAUAUACGUCUCCUUGCGGUAAACCAGAAUACAGCACGGCAUUUUGCUUCAAAUACGUGUUAUUCAAAAGACAACAACAGUUUAAAGCCAAAGGAACCCAAUCUAACAAAUUGUGUCAGUCGUUGGACAUUCAAAAUCAUGAUCUGAUAUAUCGUUUGGAAAUUCUCCCCUUUGCUGAUGAAAUACCAUCUAUCAUUUAAUGGAUAUUUAACUAGAAUAGAACGGAACAGAACAGAACAGAACGGACCAGAACAGAACUCUCAGUCAGCAUUUACAUCUCUGUAAACGGCAUCGAUAUUGCCAUUUAAUUUAUCAUAUAUUUAUCGAUUUAUAACUGGUAUUCUGCGGACUCCGUAAAAAUUUUGAUACAUUGACAUUUUCUUGACAAAAUAUUGAUAAAUCAGUUGAUAGACCGAUAUCGAAGUUGGAUUUUGCUGUUAUCCGAAUUCAGAAAGCAGCAUAAUACAAUAAGUACAAUGAUUAUCAAGAUUUAUAAAAAAUGUUUCACCUAGAGUUAUUUUGACAUAGGAAUUUCUACACGUCUGACAAACCGGAAGUAAAGGCAUGACGUCAUUUAACCGGAAAUAUAACACAAAACCUGGACUCAGCAUAUGGAUUCUCCUUUUCGUUUGCCUAAUUUUCUUAAAAUAUCUAUGGGUUUGAAAACUUAAGAUUUUCUCAAUUCGAGCAAACAACAACAACAACUACAAAACCACCAUAAUGUAAAUUCUGUAUGUUUUGUGCAAAUUUGUCAAGAGGAUACAUGUAUAUAAAUGUGUACAUGAUAUUUUAAAUUAAUUGUCAAGAAUAUUAUUUACAUUUGUCAUAUAAUAGAUGAAUCUAAUAUAAUGAAGUUAUACAUA
Mercenaria mercenaria is the source of this 2493-nucleotide long non-coding RNA. RefSeq lists it as uncharacterized. The record is from RefSeq and is a predicted model, not a curated record. The transcript has 5 exons. NCBI's taxonomy places the organism in Eukaryota, Metazoa, Mollusca, Bivalvia, Venerida, Veneridae.